Molecule: microRNA precursor, 61 nt
Filed under: Pristionchus pacificus
Lineage: Eukaryota; Metazoa; Nematoda; Chromadorea; Rhabditida; Neodiplogasteridae
Description: mir-8364 microRNA precursor family
Rfam family: mir-8364 microRNA precursor family
Source: Rfam by way of RNAcentral
UCUUCAUUCUUCACACUAUCUCUCCGGUCAGAGAGGCGAGAAAGUGAGAGAGAUGAAGAGA